CUAUGCGCCUUGCCCAGCCCGCUCAGGUGUGCCAGCAGCCGCGGUAAUACAGAGGUCUCAAGCGUUGUUCGGAAUCACUGGGCGUAAAGCGUGCGUAGGCGGUUUCGUAAGUCGUGUGUGAAAGGCGGGGGCUCAACCCCCGGACUGCACAUGAUACUGCGAGACUAGAGUAAUGGAGGGGGAACCGGAAUUCUCGGUGUAGCAGUGAAAUGCGUAGAUAUCGAGAGGAACACUCGUGGCGAAGGCGGGUUCCUGGACAUUAACUGACGCUGAGGCACGAAGGCCAGGGGAGCGAAAGGG
This 300-nucleotide ribosomal RNA is filed under the name uncultured bacterium. Its description in RNAcentral is "bacterial SSU rRNA". It matches the Rfam family "Bacterial small subunit ribosomal RNA", at positions 475 to 776 of the family's 1533-position model. The record is from RNAcentral.